UACGUAGGCAGCGAGCGUUGUUCGGAGUUACUGGGGGUAAAGGGUGUGUAGGCGGUUGUUUAAGUUUGGUGUGAAAUCUCCCGGCUCAACUGGGAGGGUGCGCCGAAUACUGAAUGACUUGGAGUGCGGGAGAGGAAAGUGGAAUUCCUGGUGUAGCGGUGAAAUGCGUAGAUAUCAGGAGGAACACCGGUGGUGUAGACGGCUUUCUGGACCGUAACUGACGCUGAGACACGAAAGCGUGGGUAGCAAACAGG
Molecule: ribosomal RNA, 254 nt
Filed under: uncultured bacterium
Lineage: Bacteria
Description: partial 16S ribosomal RNA
Rfam family: Bacterial small subunit ribosomal RNA
Source: RNAcentral